Molecule: ribosomal RNA, 814 nt
Filed under: uncultured bacterium
Lineage: Bacteria
Description: bacterial SSU rRNA
Rfam family: Bacterial small subunit ribosomal RNA
Source: RNAcentral
UGAAACUAGAUACAAGCGAGCGGCGGACGGGUGAGUAACACGUGGGUAACCUGCCCAAGAGACUGGGAUAACACCUGGAAACAGAUGCUAAUACCGGAUAACAACACUAGACGCAUGUCUAGAGUUUGAAAGAUGGUUCUGCUAUCACUCUUGGAUGGACCUGCGGUGCAUUAGCUAGUUGGUAAGGUAACGGCUUACCAAGGCAAUGAUGCAUAGCCGAGUUGAGAGACUGAUCGGCCACAUUGGGACUGAGACACGGCCCAAACUCCUACGGGAGGCAGCAGUAGGGAAUCUUCCACAAUGGACGAAAGUCUGAUGGAGCAACGCCGCGUGAGUGAAGAAGGGUUUCGGCUCGUAAAGCUCUGUUGGUAGUGAAGAAAGAUAGAGGUAGUAACUGGCCUUUAUUUGACGGUAAUUACUUAGAAAGUCACGGCUAACUACGUGCCAGCAGCCGCGGUAAUACGUAGGUGGCAAGCGUUGUCCGGAUUUAUUGGGCGUAAAGCGAGUGCAGGCGGUUCAAUAAGUCUGAUGUGAAAGCCUUCGGCUCAACCGGAGAAUUGCAUCAGAAACUGUUGAACUUGAGUGCAGAAGAGGAGAGUGGAACUCCAUGUGUAGCGGUGGAAUGCGUAGAUAUAUGGAAGAACACCAGUGGCGAAGGCGGCUCUCUGGUCUGCAACUGACGCUGAGGCUCGAAAGCAUGGGUAGCGAACAGGAUUAGAUACCCUGGUAGUCCAUGCCGUAAACGAUGAGUGCUAAGUGUUGGGAGGUUUCCGCCUCUCAGUGCUGCAGCUAACGCAUUAAGCACUCCGCCUGG